UACGAAGGGGGCUAGCGUUGUUCGGAUAUACUGGGCGUAAAGCGCACGUAGGCGGAUUGCUAAGUCAGGGGUGAAAUCCUGGAGCUCAACUCCAGAACUGCCUUUGAUACUGGCGAUCUUGAGUCCGGGAGAGGUGAGUGGAACUGCGAGUGUAGAGGUGAAAUUCGUAGAUAUUCGCAAGAACACCAGUGGCGAAGGCGGCUCACUGGCCCGGUACUGACGCUGAGGUGCGAAAGCGUGGGGAGCAAACAGG
This 253-nucleotide ribosomal RNA is filed under the name uncultured bacterium. RNAcentral's name for it is "partial 16S ribosomal RNA". It matches the Rfam family "Bacterial small subunit ribosomal RNA", at positions 524 to 776 of the family's 1533-position model. The record is from RNAcentral.